GGGGCUGACUUGAUUCGACGGGAUUCGCGGAAACCCAAGGUGCAUGCCGAGGGCGGUUGGCCUCGUAAAAGCCGCAAAAAAUAGUCGCAAACGACGAAGAAAACUACGCUUUAGCAGCUUAUCAACCUGCUAAGAGCCUCUCCCUAGCUUCCGCUCUUAAGACGGGGAAUAAAAGAGAGGUCAAAACCUAAAAAGAGAUCGCAGUGGAAGCCCCGCCUGGAAGGUUGAAGCGUUAAAACUAAUCAGGCUAGUUUGUCAGUGGCGGUCUGUCCGCAGCUGGCCAGCGAAUGUAAAGACUGGACUAAGGCGAAAAGCCGAGGAUGUGAAUUUCGGACGCGGGUUCUAACUCUCCCGCCAGCUCCACUG
This 366-nucleotide transfer-messenger RNA is filed under the name Klebsiella planticola. Its description in RNAcentral is "Raoultella planticola transfer-messenger RNA". It matches the Rfam family "transfer-messenger RNA". From Rfam's summary of the family: Bacterial tmRNA, also known as 10Sa RNA or SsrA, is named for its dual tRNA and mRNA-like properties. The record is from RNAcentral. Lineage: Bacteria; Pseudomonadati; Pseudomonadota; Gammaproteobacteria; Enterobacterales; Enterobacteriaceae.